CUCAAGCCCGCACCAUUUGAGGGCGUGAACUAUAAGAGGUGGCGUGCGAGGGCAGUUCUUUGGCUUACCACCAUGAACGGUUUUCACGCCUCUAAAGGCAAGCCAGAGGGAGAGCUGACUACUGAGCAGGACCAAGGUUUCCAGGCUACAGACACCCUCUUUAGAGGUGCUAUCUUGAGUGUUCUUGGCGACAAGAUUGUCGAUCCAUUCAUGACCAUCAUGGUCGGUAAAGAUAUGUGGGAUGCACUCGAAGCCAAGUUUGGAGUCGCGGACGCAGGAAGUGAGUUGUAUAUCAUGGAACAGUACCAUGACUACAAGAUGACUGAUGACCGCUCCGUUGUUGAGCAGGCUCAUGAGAUUCAGUCGCUCACUAAAGAACUUGAGUAUCUCAAUUGUGUGUUACCGGACAAAUUCAUUGUCGGAGGCAUCAUUGCCAAGCUUCCUCCUUCAUGGAGGAAUUUUGCUACCUCUCUGAAGCAUAAGAGGCAAGAGUUUACUGUUGUCAAUCUAAUUGGCACUCUUGAUGUGGAAGAGAAGGCGAGGGCAAAAGACACAUGUGCUCGUUUCCAUGAGGGGAAUUCCAGUGCCAAUUUGGUACAAAAGAGAAAUUUCCAAACCCACAAACCCAAGAACAAAAACUAUGCGGGCAAAGGAAAAUUUGAUGGCAAGUACAAAGCCCCACAACCUGUCAACUUCAAGAAGAAGAAGGAUACUUAUAAGAAGAAAGGAAAGUGCCAUGUAUGUGGCAGUGAAGAACAUUGGGCUUCAUCCUGCAAGGACCGCUGGGACAUGCGUCAGAAUGAGAACAAUAGCAAGACCGCUAAUGUUAUUGUUGGCGAUGUUGACAUGAAAGAUGUCGGG
RNAcentral lists this ribosomal RNA (861 nucleotides) under Triticum aestivum (bread wheat). RNAcentral describes it as "partial small subunit ribosomal RNA". Lineage: Eukaryota; Viridiplantae; Streptophyta; Magnoliopsida; Poales; Poaceae. The record is from RNAcentral.